This 913-nucleotide ribosomal RNA is filed under the name uncultured Bacteroidota bacterium. RNAcentral describes it as "bacterial SSU rRNA". It matches the Rfam family "Bacterial small subunit ribosomal RNA", at positions 1 to 916 of the family's 1533-position model. The record is from RNAcentral. Lineage: Bacteria; Pseudomonadati; Bacteroidota.
GGAUCCAGACUUUGAUUAUGCUCAGGACGAACGCUGGCGGCGCGCCUAACACAUGCAAGUCGAACGAAGUUUACGGGACUGAUCCUUCGGGUGAUCGAACGCAAACUUAGUGGCGGACGGGUGAGUAACACGUGAGCAACCUGCCCUACAGUGGGGGAUAACGUUUUGAAAAGAACGCUAAUACCGCAUAACGUAUCGGAGAGGCAUCUUUCUGAUACCAAAGGAGCAAUCCGCUGUAAGAUGGGCUCGCGUCCGAUUAGCCAGUUGGCGGGGUAACGGCCCACCAAAGCGACGAUCGGUAGCCGGACUGAGAGGUUGAACGGCCACAUUGGGACUGAGACACGGCCCAGACUCCUACGGGAGGCAGCAGUGGGGGAUAUUGCACAAUGGGGGAAACCCUGAUGCAGCGACGCCGCGUGAGGGAAGAAGGUCUUCGGAUUGUAAACCUCUGUCUUCGGUGACGAAAAUGACGGUAGCCGAGGAGGAAGCCACGGCUAACUACGUGCCAGCAGCCGCGGUAAUACGUAGGUGGCAAGCGUUGUCCGGAAUUACUGGGUGUAAAGGGAGCGUAGGCGGGAAUACAAGUUGAAUGUGAAAACUAUGGGCUCAACCCAUAGUUGCGUUCAAAACUGUGUUUCUUGAGUGAAGUAGAGGUAAGCGGAAUUCCUAGUGUAGCGGUGAAAUGCGUAAAUAUUAGGAGGAACACCAGUGGCGAAGGCGGCUUACUGGGCUUUAACUGACGCUGAGGCUCGAAAGCGUGGGUAGCAAACAGGAUUAGAUACCCUGGUAGUCCACGCUGUAAACGAUGAUUACUAGGUGUGGGGGGACUGACCCCUUCCGUGCCGGAGUUAACACAAUAAGUAAUCCACCUGGGGAGUACGACCGCAAGGUUGCAACUCAAAGGAAUUGACGG